Molecule: ribosomal RNA, 779 nt
Filed under: Streptococcus pneumoniae PCS8106
Lineage: Bacteria; Bacillati; Bacillota; Bacilli; Lactobacillales; Streptococcaceae
Description: bacterial SSU rRNA
Rfam family: Bacterial small subunit ribosomal RNA
Source: RNAcentral
GAGUUUGAUCCUGGCUCAGGACGAACGCUGGCGGCGUGCCUAAUACAUGCAAGUAGAACGCUGAAGGAGGAGCUUGCUUCUCUGGAUGAGUUGCGAACGGGUGAGUAACGCGUAGGUAACCUGCCUGGUAGCGGGGGAUAACUAUUGGAAACGAUAGCUAAUACCGCAUAAGAGUAGAUGUUGCAUGACAUUUGCUUAAAAGGUGCACUUGCAUCACUACCAGAUGGACCUGCGUUGUAUUAGCUAGUUGGUGGGGUAACGGCUCACCAAGGCGACGAUACAUAGCCGACCUGAGAGGGUGAUCGGCCACACUGGGACUGAGACACGGCCCAGACUCCUACGGGAGGCAGCAGUAGGGAAUCUUCGGCAAUGGACGGAAGUCUGACCGAGCAACGCCGCGUGAGUGAAGAAGGUUUUCGGAUCGUAAAGCUCUGUUGUAAGAGAAGAACGAGUGUGAGAGUGGAAAGUUCACACUGUGACGGUAUCUUACCAGAAAGGGACGGCUAACUACGUGCCAGCAGCCGCGGUAAUACGUAGGUCCCGAGCGUUGUCCGGAUUUAUUGGGCGUAAAGCGAGCGCAGGCGGUUAGAUAAGUCUGAAGUUAAAGGCUGUGGCUUAACCAUAGUAGGCUUUGGAAACUGUUUAACUUGAGUGCAAGAGGGGAGAGUGGAAUUCCAUGUGUAGCGGUGAAAUGCGUAGAUAUAUGGAGGAACACCGGUGGCGAAAGCGGCUCUCUGGCUUGUAACUGACGCUGAGGCUCGAAAGCGUGGGGAGCAAAC